Long non-coding RNA from Gadus macrocephalus (Pacific cod), 6604 nucleotides. RefSeq lists it as uncharacterized. The transcript has 3 exons. The record is from RefSeq and is a predicted model, not a curated record. NCBI's taxonomy places the organism in Eukaryota, Metazoa, Chordata, Actinopteri, Gadiformes, Gadidae.
UUCCCGUUGACGCCAGUGUGAGCAAUACACAAUACAUGGCAGUAUUGUUCCCCAGCCAGAUGUUUGAGUGGUAUUAACAGUGGCUCAGGCAGUGAUGAGGCGCGGAGCUUGAGAGGUUUCCUGCCGGGUGUUGCAGGGCGUUGUGUGUAAUCUUUGUCCCCCAGCCGGGUUAUUGAUUGUUAUUCAUGAAGCUUCUCUUUUCAAUUCAAGAGCGCCUCGUCCCGGUCAAUAACCGUGAAUGAAGCAACAUCGGCCGCCAGUACAGUGCUCGCAGAUAGCGGUUGUGGGCGUGGGUAGGGGGCUGGAAGUGCGUCAAAGGACCCUUGCAGAGAGAUAUACUCAGGCUCCUAUUGAAGCCCUCUUUUGUCCAAGAGUUCACAGUCGAUAAAACACCUUUCAGCUGCGGUGUGAUGGUUUCAACCUUUCAUUUGCUAUCUAGAUUAGAUCUCGACUGUGAUCUCUGUGAAAUCUACAUUGGAAUUUACCACAAGCUAUCUUCUGAAGUGGGUUGAUUGUGGAACUAGUUGAACUUCUCUCUUGUUGUGUGCUUAAACAAGGGAACACAGUGCCAUCCCUGGCAGCCAUGACCUCUCUCCACCUCCACAGAAGCUUCUUAUGAAAGAGAGAGAGGAAAAGAGAGAAAGACAGAGUGAAAUUGCUUGGGUCAUACUCAUCAAACAAAGAGGAUUUUUGUUUUAAUAGGACAUGUACCACAUUUUCUAGUAUGAUUGCUCACCUGAUGUUAUGCCAGUUGUAUGGGUCUGUCGAUGAUGUGUAAUAUUACACUAAUAUCUUAAUAAUCAGAAUUUGAUUUCUGUGCUGUAUCAGUCAGUGUGUGCGUGUGCGUAUGAGUAUGUACAUAUGCAUAUCAUUUAAAGUGUGACAUUCCAUCCAAAAGAACGAGUAGUAAAGUCAGAGAAAGAUGUGUGUAUCCUGUUUGUGUGAAAGGAGCCUGUUAGUUAUUUCUUCUGACUACCAAUGGGGGCCGGGCAGUCCAGGGGUUAGGUUGUCUGUCUCCCAGCCAAAAGUUCAACUCGUGUCUAUGCUGUACGUCUCGUUGGAUAAAGGUGCCUGCUAAAUGGCUAAAUAGGAUUAGUAAUUAAUACUACAAUUUAAAACGCUACCUUUGAAACCUGAUGGUAUUCCGGAUCUGAUUGAGCUGGCUGUCGUUGACCUUCAUCACAUCUCAUUCACAAGACUCCUCUCCCUCUGUAUCUCCUCAGUGAGACCAGCAGGAGAAGCCCUUCAGAUUUAAUGUUUAUAAUGUGAAUGAAGUCAAAGUAAAGAGAGAGGCCAUUAGACUUCUGUGGCGGAGCCCUGUGUCUUCUUUUUUUUUACCAUUGAGUGGUACUUACCCACUCUAAGGGUUCAUAGGGCUGUUGACUGCUAGUUGACAUCAAUACACAUGCUCCCAUUUAUGUAUUUACUUUAAUUAUAUAGAUCUGUAUCGCUGUAUAUCUUUUAUAUAAAUACACACACACACAUUUUAUCUGAGAUGGGAGAUUUGCAGCUUAUUCAAAUCCAAGUGGACAGAGGAAAGCAGCAAAGCAAAUCAUAGACGGAUAAUGAUGCGUGAUUUAAUUAAUCAGGCCCGCAGCACGACCGGCAGGGGAAGAUGAUGGGGCUGAUGUGCGGGGAGAUAAGAGGAAAAUUAAUUUACAUGGAUGUCGCUCAGCUUUACUUAACUCGCGUCGUGCCCGCGUUCUGGCUCGGGAAACAAGUGGGAACAAGGCUGGUAUGGUUUUGGCAGCCCACGGACCCGUUUCCGCCCUGACCGCCCGCGACCCUGCCGUGAACUCCCUGUGACCUGAGGAUGUCAAAUGGAGAGCGCCGUAUUAGGACGUCUGGAAGACCCUUCAGGGAACACAGAUUUCAUGUUAGGGGCUGUAUUAGUAAGGCGAGAACUGUUGAAUUAUUAAAACAAUACCAAAUCUACCGAAACCACCCACAUUUUUUGCCUGCUGCUGCGUUCUUACUCGAGAAGAAUGUACUUGUGAGCACUUUGACAGGGGAGUGCUGGGCUGAGUUUCUGAGUAGUGGGUGGGUUGGUGGUAUAUUUCUGUGGCACAUUAAUCAAUGGUGAAAAUAAAUUCUGAUUCAGAGUGAAAACAGAGGAAUAAUGUUACAGGAGCCAGGAACCUUCUCGAGCUUCUCAAAAUGGACUUGGCAUAAAGGAACCAAAUCCAAAUGAUAUGCUCAUCACUUCAUUACUCAUUGCUCUUUCUUUGCUCUAAACUAGCAAGUGUUGAUGAUGAUGACAAACAUGUGCAAAGUAUAAUUUGCAUAGUAACACAUCCCAGAUAUAGAAUCACACUCAUCCAGUCAUUAAUUAUGCGUCAAAGGUCAGAGACGAAUUCCCGAGAUGGAUUAAUCCAAAUUUUAAUCGUAUUCAAUCUGAUCAUUUUUAAAAACAAGGUCACAGACAAUACUGCCAAGUAAACACAUUUCAGAUUCAAGGAGAAAAUAAUUGCAUGUGAGGAUUUUGUAAUACAUCACAUUAAUUAUUUUCUACCAAGAACCCACCAAGAUCACUUGGUUCAAUAUGUCAGUGCUGGAGGCCUACGUACACCAACUCUGAUGAGCGAAUCAACGGACGAUCCAAGUGUUGGGUGUUCCUCGCUCACUCGUUGAGCGAUGGGAGCUAGUUAUUAUCAGUGUUAUGCUUCCUUCUGAUGAGUCUAAUGCAUUGUAGCAUCUCCGCUGUGAGGGCUCCCUGAGUGAAGCUGCUUUGCCUCUGGUAAUGUUACAGGUCAUGCAUAUCAAAGCUGCUUCCCAGGGCCUUUCCUCUCGGACAUAGAAAACUACUGACAGACGUGCUCCUUCACCUGUGUUUGCAUUAGAUGUGUGAUUGAUGAUAAGAUAAAAAAAAUAAAAUGGGGAAUUGAAGAAAGAUUUGGAGCGAGUAUUUGUUGGCCAAUGAAUAUUCAGUGAUAUACUUGAAAGGGAUCUCGAAACAUGGCCCUGAAAUGAACGCUCCAGUUGUUUAUGACAUGGGGCUUCGUCGAAUAAUCAUCCCCUGCCAUUUGCAAAUGUUUGGGAUUAUGCGAUAAAGGGAAAUUCUGGGAUUUUUUGUCAGUGUCAAAAGGAGGCUGUGAGGCCUGGAAUGGAUCCCUGAAUACACAAAUAAACCUGUCUCAUAGGAAGAAGACAAGGUUUAUGCUAUCUGUGGGUUUAGAAUUAUGUUUUGUAAUCCACAGGAAGGUGGCCCCAAAGACUGUUUAUGAUGUUUAAGCAGAGGCUUUUGUCUGGCUAGUGUCACACAGUUCUUGGAACGUUUUCUAGGCUUUAUAGAAGAUACUAAUAGAUAAAUAAAAGGACAACACGUUGUUGUUCUUGAGUAGUCCAACAGAAAAUCUGUCUCUAUAACCACCGUCCGGAGACAACCGUUUAAAACAAAUUAGCCUGCAAAUUAAAAUAGACUUCAAGCACGGAAAGAACAUCCUGUAAUGCGCAAUUGAUAUUCCUCAAACCAGCCUGGGAUUUGAUUUGUGAACCUAAACCCCGGAGCCAUUUAUGUGGACGCUAAAAUUCAAUCAGGACUCUAAAUUAACGUGCUAAUAAAAUGAAGGAGUGGGCCUGCGGUUAUUGACAGCACAGUAUUCACAGGCGAACACCCCCGCUCCAGUGUGUCAGGACUUAUAUAUCCCCUGCAGCCCGCUCGUAUUUUUUGAUAAUUGCACAGUAUGUUGUCCAUUAUCCCUGAUGCACAGGUUUUUUGAACAAUGGCUGUUCGUCAAAAAGAGUUGCAGGUCAACACACCCCUAUUGCUGGCACUAUAGUAGUGUGUGUGUUUGACGUAUUCCUCCCUGUGGAGGUCAUGUAUGUAGUACACACAUCGCAACUGUUUUGUUUUUCCUCGUUGUACAUCCACAGUUUCUGUACUAUGAUUGUACAAUCAACUCCAUCAAGUUUUGACAAACGACUGGAUUCGCGUUCACGUUUGUCUUAAUCCUGGAAAUAACAACUCAACAGUUUAAGAUGACUCAGUGAAUAUCGUGUACCCAGAUGUAUCAUGGCUGGUCGAUAAAGACAUCCUCCUAAUCAGCGAGGCAGACGUUAGGAUGAUUUCCUCUUCUUCUUCUUAUUAUACUGUAUCACAGGUUACAGAACAAGGAGCUGCUGGGCGUGGUGAAUAUCUGUGCACAGGUGCGUGCUUUGCCUUACACAAGCAAAAUUUGCCUUUGAAGUAACUUAAUCCUAUUGCCCCAAAUUUCCUUUUUCCUCAAGCACUAUUUGCAUUAAGCGUUGGGCUUAGCUGACGUCACACUUUGUCAAAAAUGCUGAGUUAUGAGCACCGGAGCCUGUGCUUGAGGAGAUUGAGGCAGAGGAGCAGAGGUUUUGUAUUUCGACACGGGUGAUGAGCAGACCACAGCCCAGAGAGUUUCCAAUUACAAUUUCCUGUCUGCUUUUCAGCUGUGGUGAGAUGAACUUAACCUCCUGAUGUCGGGGAUUAUGAUAGCAAGGCGGCCACGGCAUUCAGAGUAGUCAAUGAAUGGGAAUACUUAUGAAUGGUCGUGUGCAGCUGGAGAAAUGACCGGUUUUCCAUCCGAUUUCAUUUCCUGUUAUGUUUCCAAUUAAUCCAUUUCCCUCUCUUGACGCAUCUCUGCUUUAGUUUUCUGUCAACCAUAUGCAAUGAGUUUCAAUGUCAUUGAGUAUCUCUGGAACAAUACUGAUUGUCUUCAACACUUAUUCCAGCAGUGAAAUCCUUGCACAGAUGAUUGUGUACUUUUCCCUCUCUUUUUGUGUUCGUUCAUUGUGAGAUGUGUGACCAAAAUGAUCCCUGUAAUAUUUAAUGAUAUUGUUACCAUGUCCCUGUCAGGGUAUCACUGGUGACCAGGGACCCGGAGCAUUGAUUUAGCCCGAGGGAGAGCAUUAUCCGCUACUUCAGAUCCUGAGAAGAAGGUCAGCAUACCCUAACACAAUGCGGAGUACUGCGGAAACCACCGAAAAAUGGUGUGAUAGAUAUGCAAGUCGUGGAUACAGUUUUACAUGGCUACAUCCACUUGAUUUUAGGUACGAUAACCAACGUUUAGCGUGCCAUCGCCAUUUAGAAUUAAUGUCAAGGAAGAAAGAGGAACAUAACCGCUUUCACUCAAAGCACUGAAACUGAAAGCUCAGCGCAAGGCGUGUGCUGAUGUGAUUCGUUGCGGCGCUGCUGAGAUCCAACAUGUCUGCACUGAUUUCCUGUUCCUGUUGGAGCGUGGGUGGACACUGCGGAGCUCUUUAAAGCUUGACAUUAUUUCCACCUCUCUGUGUGUGACUCAACUAAGUGUCCUUGAGAGCUUCAGUGCAGCUUGACAGUUCUGCUGUAUAACAGAUAGCUUCUCUGGUCCCCCUGCCCUCGGUGCCUAGGCCUGUUUGCAUCCAUCUCUGUCUCUCCCCGCUCUCGUGCGCUCACUAUAGGGUUGGUUAAGUAGUUGUCCUUCACUGCAACUGGUGCUAACAGAACAGAGGCUGCAUCAUUAGGGCCGCCUGAUUAUCUAUUAAUUCUCUCUUUAUGCUGCGUCUCUCAGGAUGCAGAUGUGCUGCAGACACACAGAUGAGCGUGGAUGGAUGAUGAUUGAAACCGGUAGAUGGAUUGAUAGAUGGAUGGAUGUUUGGGCCGGUGGUUACUUGGAUGGAUAAUCAGACAGAGGGAUGGAUGGAUUCGAUGGAUGGAUUGCAGCAAUGGUGCAAACAAAACAGAUUAGAUGUGUGUUAUUUUAUUUAUUUUGCACUGAGUCACUUAAAAAAUAGCAGACAGAGAGCUUUGUGUUCAAGUAAACUAAAGUGAUGGUGGUGAACGAUGAGUAUAAUGUGCACAAAGCUAGACUUCCAUUAAGAUUGAAUCAGCAAUCAGUACUUAAAAAACGUGUUGCCCCCUUUGAAAGCUUAGAGAGAAAACCAAAAAGCAUGUUCAUUCAGUUUCUACAAUAACACAGUUAGUUCCUGUAGCAGCGGAAAUAACGGGCUGUCAGCUUGCCCCUGAGGUUAAAGAUUUACAAUUGAACGGCGGCAAUAGAUGAAGCGACAUGCGCCAUAACAGGUUGUUGUGCAAUUCCGGUAAAACACACUCAAUCGGUAGACUUUAGGGGUCAGGCUUGUGUUGGUGCUCAAUACAUUUCAGUCCGUCUUUGUUCUUGAAGUUUGAGGGUCCUUAGAAAUGCAUUCAGGCAGGUGUCAGCCCCUUUCCCUUCAGAGAACGUGCCACUCACGUGUUCUCAUGUCUGCCUGUGUUCUCUUGUCAUGGUGUCAGUAUAUGUACAGUAUAUGUUGUAUUUUAUUUAUAUUUUAUGUAUAACUAAUCAUUAUACAUGACAUACUUUUAUUAUGUGUUUUCAUGACUGCAUAGUGUGUGUGUGCAUUCAUGUGAAUAUGUGCAAAUGCUUGCUUGUUUAUACAUGAGUGUGUUUGUGUGUUUACAUUAGUGUGUGUGUGUGUGUGUGUGUGUGUGUGUGUGUGUGUGUGCACGCGCGUGCGUGUGUGCGCGUGCGUAAAUGGGUAUAUGUGUGUGUGUUAGUUUAUUUGUAUGUUCUGCAUGUGUCUGUGUGUCUGCGAGUCAGUUUCAUUUGCGGCAGCAGAAUCCGAUAUGAGCCCCUUGGAAUAAAAGUGUAUUCAACAUGAG